AUACGGAGGGUGCAAGCGUUAAUCGGAAUUACUGGGCGUAAAGCGCGCGUAGGCGGAUAUUUAAGUCUCAUGUGAAAGCCCUGGGCUCAACCUGGGAACUGCAUGGGAUACUGGGUAUCUAGAAUACAGUAGAGGGUAGUGGAAUUUCAGGUGUAGCGGUGAAAUGCGUAGAGAUCUGAAGGAACAUCAGUGGUGAAGGCGACUACCUGGACUGAUAUUGACGCUGAGGUGCGAAAGCGUGGGGAGCAAACGGGAUUAGAUACCCUAGUAGUCC
RNAcentral lists this ribosomal RNA (274 nucleotides) under uncultured bacterium. RNAcentral's name for it is "partial 16S ribosomal RNA". It matches the Rfam family "Bacterial small subunit ribosomal RNA", at positions 523 to 796 of the family's 1533-position model. The record is from RNAcentral.